CAAGAAAUAGUUUAAUAAAAAUUUUAAUUUUGGAGAUUAAAGAAAGGGUUUAUCUCUUUUCUUGA
RNAcentral lists this transfer RNA (65 nucleotides) under Cucujoidea sp. 37 KM-2017. RNAcentral describes it as "tRNA-Pro". The record is from RNAcentral. Lineage: Eukaryota; Metazoa; Arthropoda; Insecta; Coleoptera.